GACGAACGCUGGCGGCGUGCUUAACACAUGCAAGUCGAACGGAGCGAAUGAAAGCUUGCUUUUAUAAGCUUAGUGGCAAACGGGUGAGUAACACGUAGGCAACCUGCCGACAGGAUGGGGACAACAUUCCGAAAGGAAUGCUAAUACCGAAUGAAGCGCAGGAGAGGCAUCUCUCCUGCGUGAAAGAUGGCCUCUAUAUAUAAGCUAUCACCUGUCGAUGGGCCUGCGUCUGAUUAGCUGGUAGGUGAGGUAACGGCUCACCUAGGCGACGAUCAGUAGCCGGUCUGAGAGGAUGAACGGCCACAUUGGGACUGAGACACGGCCCAGACUCCUACGGGAGGCAGCAGUGGGGAAUCUUCCGCAAUGGGCGCAAGCCUGACGGAGCAACGCCGCGUGAGUGAAGAAGGUCUUCGGAUCGUAAAGCUCUGUUGAUGGGGACGAACGUGCCUAAUGCGAAUAGUAUUAGGU
Molecule: ribosomal RNA, 468 nt
Filed under: Centipeda noxia
Lineage: Bacteria; Bacillati; Bacillota; Negativicutes; Selenomonadales; Selenomonadaceae
Description: bacterial SSU rRNA
Rfam family: Bacterial small subunit ribosomal RNA
Source: RNAcentral